RNAcentral lists this ribosomal RNA (406 nucleotides) under uncultured bacterium. RNAcentral describes it as "bacterial SSU rRNA". It matches the Rfam family "Bacterial small subunit ribosomal RNA", at positions 355 to 775 of the family's 1533-position model. The record is from RNAcentral.
UGGGGAAUAUUGGGCAAUGGGGGAAACCCUGACCCAGCAACGCCGCGUGAAGGACGAAGGCCUUCGGGUUGUAAACUUCUUUGAUCAGGGACGAAAGCAAUGACGGUACCUGAAGAACAAGCCACGGCUAACUACGUGCCAGCAGCCGCGGUAAUACGUAGGUGGCGAGCGUUAUCCGGAUUUACUGGGUGUAAAGGGCGUGUAGGCGGGUUUGCAAGUCGGGUGUGAAAGAUUCGGGCUUAACCCGGAGAGGUCAUCCGAAACUGCAGAUCUUGAGUGCUGGAGAGGAUAGUGGAAUUCCUGGUGUAGCGGUAAAAUGCGUAGAGAUCAGGAGGAACACCAGUGGCGAAGGCGGCUAUCUGGACAGUAACUGACGCUGAGGCGCGAAAGCGUGGGGAGCAAACAG